RNAcentral lists this ribosomal RNA (413 nucleotides) under uncultured microorganism. Its description in RNAcentral is "bacterial SSU rRNA". It matches the Rfam family "Bacterial small subunit ribosomal RNA", at positions 9 to 417 of the family's 1533-position model. The record is from RNAcentral.
GAGUUUGAUCGUGGCUCAGAUUGAACGCUGGCGGCAUGCCUUACACAUGCAAGUCGAACGGCAGCAUGAUCUAGCUUGCUAGAUUGAUGGCGAGUGGCGAACGGGUGAGUAAUACAUCGGAACGUGCCUUGUAGUGGGGGAUAACUAGUCGAAAGAUUAGCUAAUACCGCAUACGACCUGAGGGUGAAAGUGGGGGACCGCAAGGCCUCAUGCUAUAGGAGCGGCCGAUGUCUGAUUAGCUAGUUGGUGGGGUAAAGGCCCGACCAAGGCGACGAUCAGUAGCUGGUCUGAGAGGACGAUCAGCCACACUGGGACUGAGACACGGCCCAGACUCCUACGGGAGGCAGCAGUGGGGAAUUUUGGACAAUGGGCGAAAGCCUGAUCCAGCAAUGCCGCGUGUGUGAAGAAGGCCU